RNAcentral lists this ribosomal RNA (382 nucleotides) under uncultured eukaryote. RNAcentral's name for it is "partial 18S ribosomal RNA". It matches the Rfam family "Eukaryotic small subunit ribosomal RNA", at positions 592 to 976 of the family's 1831-position model. The record is from RNAcentral.
CAAUAGCGUAUAUUAAAGUUGUUGCAGUUAAAAAGCUCGUAGUUGGAUUUCUGGUUGAAGCGACCGGUCGGGCGUUGAUUCGUCUGCACUGGAGUCGGUUUUGGCCAUCCUCUAGGAAAGUGCGUCUGGUAUUAAGUUAUCGGGCGUAUGAUCCUGGUCUUUUACUGUGAAAAAAUUAGAGUGUUUAAAGCAGGCCUUCGCCUUGAAUACAUUAGCAUGGAAUAAUAAGAUAGGACUUUGGUCUAUUUUGUUGGUUUGCAGACCGAAGUAAUGAUUAAUAGGGAUAGUUGGGGGUAUUUAUAUUCCGAUGCCAGAGGUGAAAUUCUUAGAUUUUCGGAAGAUAAACUUAUGCGAAAGCAUUUACCAAGGAUGUUUNCAUUAA